UUUUUAAUCUUUCCCUCUCCCAAAUAAACACAGUGGUCUGCCGUCCCCCAAGGCUCGGGCGAUACGCGGGUGGCUAGGCACGGAACUAGUGCCUUCCCCUUUCUGGGUGCUGGGGGAUGGGGUAGAGAGAGGAAGGCUCUCUGGGAUUUAAAGUCUUGCCCUGAUUGGAAUGGGUGGAUGUUGAGCAGCGCGAUCUCCAAAGCGGUGCCAAACUUUAAACUACAAGCUAUAAAUUCACUGUUCAAUAACCUGUUAUAAAAGUUUCGAGGUUCAUUUGCCUAACCACAAGAAUACUGACUAGGAGACCUUUUGCUUUAUCACCGUGACCAAACUCAGCACAGGAUCUCUAUCAGGUGGUGAUCAUGGAAACAAUGAUUUCAUUAAAGAAAAUGAUAAUAUUGAGACAACAUAUUAAAACCUAUGGGAA
This is a long non-coding RNA of Vombatus ursinus (common wombat), 427 nucleotides long. RefSeq lists it as uncharacterized. The record is from RefSeq and is a predicted model, not a curated record. The transcript is spliced from 3 exons. NCBI's taxonomy places the organism in Eukaryota, Metazoa, Chordata, Mammalia, Diprotodontia, Vombatidae.